RNAcentral lists this ribosomal RNA (718 nucleotides) under uncultured fungus. RNAcentral's name for it is "SSU rRNA". It matches the Rfam family "Eukaryotic small subunit ribosomal RNA", at positions 827 to 1570 of the family's 1831-position model. The record is from RNAcentral. Lineage: Eukaryota; Fungi.
CGUGUGGUUCUAUUUUGUUGGUUUCUAGGACCGCCGUAAUGAUUAAUAGGGACAGUCGGGGGCAUCAGUAUUCAAUUGUCAGAGGUGAAAUUCUUGGAUUUAUUGAAGACUAACUACUGCGAAAGCAUUUGCCAAGGAUGUUUUCAUUAAUCAGGAACGAAAGUUAGGGGAUCGAAGACGAUCAGAUACCGUCGUAGUCUUAACCAUAAACUAUGCCGACUAGGGAUCGGACGGUGUUAUUUUUUGACCCGUUCGGCACCUUACGAGAAAUCAAAGUGCUUGGGCUCCAGGGGGAGUAUGGUCGCAAGGCUGAAACUUAAAGAAAUUGACGGAAGGGCACCACCAGGGGUGGAGCCUGCGGCUUAAUUUGACUCAACACGGGGAAACUCACCAGGUCCAGACACAAUGAGGAUUGACAGAUUGAGAGCUCUUUCUUGAUUUUGUGGGUGGUGGUGCAUGGCCGUUCUUAGUUGGUGGAGUGAUUUGUCUGCUUAAUUGCGAUAACGAACGAGACCUUAACCUGCUAAAUAGCCCGUAUUGCUCUGGCAGUACGCUGGCUUCUUAGAGGGACUAUCGGCUCAAGCCGAUGGAAGUUUGAGGCAAUAACAGGUCUGUGAUGCCCUUAGAUAUUCUGGGCCGCACGCGCGCUACACUGGCGGAGCCAGCGAGUACUUCCUUGUCCGAAAGGUCCGGGUAAUCUUGUUAAACUCCGUCGUGC